GCAGCAGCCGCGGGAAUACAGAGGGUGCGAGCGUUAAUCGGAUUUACUGGGCGUAAAGCGUGCGUAGGCGGCUUCUUAAGUCGGAUGUGAAAUCCCUGAGCUUAACUUAGGAAUUGCAUUCGAUACUGGGAAGCUAGAGUAUGGGAGAGGAUGGUAGAAUUCCAGGUGUAGCGGUGAAAUGCGUAGAGAUCUGGAGGAAUACCGAUGGCGAAGGCAGCCAUCUGGCCUAAUACUGACGCUGAGGUACGAAAGCAUGGGGAGCAAACAGGAUUAGAUACCCGAGUAGUCCCUGUCUCUUAUAC
This 302-nucleotide ribosomal RNA is filed under the name uncultured bacterium. RNAcentral's name for it is "partial 16S ribosomal RNA". It matches the Rfam family "Bacterial small subunit ribosomal RNA", at positions 508 to 807 of the family's 1533-position model. The record is from RNAcentral.